This 301-nucleotide ribosomal RNA is filed under the name uncultured bacterium. RNAcentral's name for it is "partial 16S ribosomal RNA". It matches the Rfam family "Bacterial small subunit ribosomal RNA", at positions 509 to 807 of the family's 1533-position model. The record is from RNAcentral.
CAGCCGCCACGGGAAUACAGAGGAUGCAAGCGUUAUUCGGAAUGAUUGGGCGUAAAGGGUGCGUAGGCGGUUUGAUAAGUCUGAUGUGAAAUCUCUGGGCUCAACCCAGAGUCUGCAUCGGAAACUGUCGGGCUUGAGUAUGGGAGAGGUGAGUGGAAUUUCCGGUGUAGCGGUGAAAUGCGUAGAUAUCGGAAGGAACACCUGUGGCGAAAGCGGCUCACUGGACCAUUACUGACGCUGAUGCACGAAAGCUAGGGGAGCAAACAGGAUUAGAUACCCGAGUAGUCCCUGUCUCUUAUAC